This 77-nucleotide transfer RNA is filed under the name Desulfovibrio sp. RNAcentral describes it as "tRNA-Pro". It matches the Rfam family "tRNA". From Rfam's summary of the family: Transfer RNA (tRNA) molecules are approximately 80 nucleotides in length. Their secondary structure includes four short double-helical elements and three loops (D, anti-codon, and T loops). Further hydrogen bonds mediate the characteristic L-shaped molecular structure. tRNAs have two regions of fundamental functional importance: the anti-codon, which is responsible for specific mRNA codon recognition, and the 3' end, to which the tRNAs corresponding amino acid is attached (by aminoacyl-tRNA synthetases). tRNAs cope with the degeneracy of the genetic code in two manners: having more than one tRNA (with a specific anti-codon) for a particular amino acid; and 'wobble' base-pairing, i.e. permitting non-standard base-pairing at the 3rd anti-codon position. The record is from RNAcentral. Lineage: Bacteria; Pseudomonadati; Thermodesulfobacteriota; Desulfovibrionia; Desulfovibrionales; Desulfovibrionaceae. RNAcentral also lists the same sequence under 6 other names.
CGGGAUGUGGCUCAGCCUGGUAGAGCGCCGCGUUCGGGACGCGGAGACCGCUGGUUCAAAUCCAGUCAUCCCGACCA